RNAcentral lists this ribosomal RNA (785 nucleotides) under Escherichia coli. RNAcentral's name for it is "partial 23S ribosomal RNA". It matches the Rfam family "Bacterial large subunit ribosomal RNA", at positions 561 to 1346 of the family's 2925-position model. Lineage: Bacteria; Pseudomonadati; Pseudomonadota; Gammaproteobacteria; Enterobacterales; Enterobacteriaceae. The record is from RNAcentral.
UACGUACAAGCAGUGGGAGCCUCUUUUAUGGGGUGACUGCGUACCUUUUGUAUAAUGGGUCAGCGACUUAUAUUCUGUAGCAAGGUUAACCGAAUAGGGGAGCCGAAGGGAAACCGAGUCUUAACUGGGCGUUAAGUUGCAGGGUAUAGACCCGAAACCCGGUGAUCUAGCCAUGGGCAGGUUGAAGGUUGGGUAACACUAACUGGAGGACCGAACCGACUAAUGUUGAAAAAUUAGCGGAUGACUUGUGGCUGGGGGUGAAAGGCCAAUCAAACCGGGAGAUAGCUGGUUCUCCCCGAAAGCUAUUUAGGUAGCGCCUCGUGAAUUCAUCUCCGGGGGUAGAGCACUGUUUCGGCAAGGGGGUCAUCCCGACUUACCAACCCGAUGCAAACUGCGAAUACCGGAGAAUGUUAUCACGGGAGACACACGGCGGGUGCUAACGUCCGUCGUGAAGAGGGAAACAACCCAGACCGCCAGCUAAGGUCCCAAAGUCAUGGUUAAGUGGGAAACGAUGUGGGAAGGCCCAGACAGCCAGGAUGUUGGCUUAGAAGCAGCCAUCAUUUAAAGAAAGCGUAAUAGCUCACUGGUCGAGUCGGCCUGCGCGGAAGAUGUAACGGGGCUAAACCAUGCACCGAAGCUGCGGCAGCGACACUGUGUGUUGUUGGGUAGGGGAGCGUUCUGUAAGCCUGUGAAGGUGUGCUGUGAGGCAUGCUGGAGGUAUCAGAAGUGCGAAUGCUGACAUAAGUAACGAUAAAGCGGGUGAAAAGCCCGCUCGCCGGAAGACC